RNAcentral lists this long non-coding RNA (573 nucleotides) under Ananas comosus (pineapple). RNAcentral's name for it is "long non-coding RNA (ACOM_LNC028797)". The record is from RNAcentral. Lineage: Eukaryota; Viridiplantae; Streptophyta; Magnoliopsida; Poales; Bromeliaceae.
UAAAAUAAAAUAUAUUAUUUUAAAUUAGAUUCUUACAUAAAAUAUUAUAUUAUAAAUUACUAUAUGAAAUAAUUUUAUAAAUAAUUUUAUAUAAAAUAUACUAAUAUAAAUUAAUUAUUUUAUUUUUAAAAAUAUAUUUAGACGUUGUUCUAGACUUUUUAUCCAAACGCUAUUAAGGAUAUCCUCUAGAAUAUCCUCGAAUGCAUCCAAACAUAAAUUCACAAUUGUUCUAUCUUAUACCGAAAUAUCCCCUGUUCUCGGGAACAACAAAAGUUGUUCUCCAAAAUUUAGUUCUCAGUUUUACUGAAUUUUUGCCGAAUCCAAAUUAACUCACCAAACGUGCAAUCUACCCUUUUUAUUUGUGAGGGAAAUAGACUGUUGUUGUUCAUUGAGCUUAAUUACAGAAAUUACGGCUUAGUUUGGUAUUACAAAGAAAUUGUAUUUAUAUGCAAUGAAAAAGUGAAAAAGCUGAAUGAAAAAAUAUUUUUGUUUCCAUACGUAAUAUUAUAGAAUACUAAAGUUAUACUAAAGUGAUUAUGAAAUAUUUUUUUUGUAGUUCCACAAAAAGAGAAA